UACGGAGGGUGCAAGCAUUAAUCGGAUUUAUUGGGCGUAAAGGGCGCGUAGGCGGGUUUGUAAGUCAGAUGUGAAAUGCCGAAGCUCAACUUCGGAACAGCAUUUGAAACUGCAAGUCUAGAGGGUAGGCGGAGAAAAUAGAAUUCCACAAGUAGCGGUGAAAUGCGUAGAUAUGUGGAAGAAUACCAGUGGCGAAGGCGAUUUUCUAGCUUAUACCUGACGCUGAGGCGCGAAAGCAAGGGGAUCAAACAGG
Molecule: ribosomal RNA, 253 nt
Filed under: uncultured bacterium
Lineage: Bacteria
Description: partial 16S ribosomal RNA
Rfam family: Bacterial small subunit ribosomal RNA
Source: RNAcentral